RNAcentral lists this ribosomal RNA (1598 nucleotides) under Vibrio parahaemolyticus. RNAcentral's name for it is "bacterial LSU rRNA". It matches the Rfam family "Bacterial large subunit ribosomal RNA", at positions 1 to 1647 of the family's 2925-position model. The record is from RNAcentral. Lineage: Bacteria; Pseudomonadati; Pseudomonadota; Gammaproteobacteria; Vibrionales; Vibrionaceae.
GUUGUAUGGUUAAGUGACUAAGCGUACACGGUGGAUGCCUUGGCAGUCAGAGGCGAUGAAAGACGUAGUAACUUGCGAUAAGCCCAGAUUAGGUAGUAACAACCAUUUGAGUCUGGGAUUUCUGAAUGGGGAAACCCACGUGCAUAAGCACGUAUCCUUACCUGAAUACAUAGGGUAAGGAGGCGAACCGGGGGAACUGAAACAUCUAAGUACCCCGAGGAAAAGAAAUCAACCGAGAUUCCGAAAGUAGCGGCGAGCGAAAUUGGACUAGCCCUUAAGCUUUACACGCGUUAGACGAACGGUCUGGAAAGUCCGACGAUACAGGGUGAUAGUCCCGUAGUUGACGACGUGUGUUCAGUGAAAUCGAGUAGGGCGGGACACGUGAUAUCCUGUCUGAAUAUGGGGGGACCAUCCUCCAAGGCUAAAUACUACUGACUGACCGAUAGUGAACCAGUACCGUGAGGGAAAGGCGAAAAGAACCCCUGUGAGGGGAGUGAAAUAGAACCUGAAACCGUGUACGUACAAGCAGUAGGAGCAGGCUUUGUCCUGUGACUGCGUACCUUUUGUAUAAUGGGUCAGCGACUUAUAUUCAGUGGCAAGGUUAACCAUCUAGGGGAGCCGUAGGGAAACCGAGUCUUAACUGGGCGUUCAGUCUCUGGAUAUAGACCCGAAACCAGGUGAUCUAGCCAUGGGCAGGUUGAAGGUUGAGUAACAUCAACUGGAGGACCGAACCGACUAAUGUUGAAAAAUUAGCGGAUGACUUGUGGCUAGGGGUGAAAGGCCAAUCAAACCUGGAGAUAGCUGGUUCUCCCCGAAAGCUAUUUAGGUAGCGCCUCGGACGAAUACUACUGGGGGUAGAGCACUGUUAAGGCUAGGGGGUCAUCCCGACUUACCAACCCUUUGCAAACUCCGAAUACCAGUAAGUACUAUCCGGGAGACACACGGCGGGUGCUAACGUCCGUCGUGGAGAGGGAAACAACCCAGACCGCCAGCUAAGGUCCCAAAUUACUACUAAGUGGGAAACGAUGUGGGAAGGCUCAGACAGCCAGGAUGUUGGCUUAGAAGCAGCCAUCAUUUAAAGAAAGCGUAAUAGCUCACUGGUCGAGUCGGCCUGCGCGGAAGAUGUAACGGGGCUAAGUAGUAAACCGAAGCUGCGGCAAUAUACUUUUGUAUAUUGGGUAGGGGAGCGUUCUGUAAGCGGUUGAAGGUGUGUGGUAACGCAUGCUGGACGUAUCAGAAGUGCGAAUGCUGACAUGAGUAACGAUAAAGGGGGUGAAAAACCUCCUCGCCGGAAGACCAAGGGUUCCUGUCCAACGUUAAUCGGGGCAGGGUAAGUCGACCCCUAAGGCGAGGCCGAAAGGCGUAGUCGAUGGGAAACGGGUUAAUAUUCCCGUACUUCUUACAAUUGCGAUGGGGGGACGGAGAAGGCUAGGUGGGCCUGGCGACGGUUGUCCAGGUUCAAGUGCGUAGGCUUAAGAGUUAGGUAAAUCCGGCUCUUUCUAAGGCUGAGACACGACGUCGAGCACCUACGGGUGUGAAGUCAUUGAUGCCAUGCUUCCAGGAAAAGCCUCUAAGCUUCAGAUUGUAAGGAAUCGUAC